Long non-coding RNA from Triticum dicoccoides, 202 nucleotides. RefSeq lists it as uncharacterized. The record is from RefSeq and is a predicted model, not a curated record. The transcript is spliced from 3 exons. NCBI's taxonomy places the organism in Eukaryota, Viridiplantae, Streptophyta, Magnoliopsida, Poales, Poaceae.
CAGGAGAAGCAAACUGUUUGCUGCUGCUUGUAUCACUUGAUGAUACUAUACCUUGAUGCGCUCGUACAUGACAUCCCAGUAAGCAACUGCGCGAUACGAUCGAAUGCAUGGGAUAGUACUCUAAUUGCCAAGGUGAUCAAGAAGGAUACUAUCUCUCCUGGUGUGUUCGGCAAAUUACAACUUAAAGAGGAGUAUAGAGGCA